Molecule: ribosomal RNA, 253 nt
Filed under: uncultured bacterium
Lineage: Bacteria
Description: partial 16S ribosomal RNA
Rfam family: Bacterial small subunit ribosomal RNA
Source: RNAcentral
UACGUAGGGGGCUAGCGUUGUCCGGAAUCAUUGGGCGUAAAGCGCGUGUAGGCGGUCCGGUAAGUCCGCUGUGAAAGUCGGGGGCUCAACCCUCGAAUGCCGGUGGAUACUGUCGGGCUAGAGUACGGAAGAGGCGAGUGGAAUUCCUGGUGUAGCGGUGAAAUGCGCAGAUAUCAGGAGGAACACCCGUAGCGAAGGCGGCACUCUGGGCCGAUACUGACACUGAGGAGCGAAAGCGUGGGGAGCGAACAGG